UUCCGCCGCGGCAGGGAGUCGCUGAGCGGCGGAGCCCGAGCCCCCACCUCGUGCCGCUUCUGCCUCCCCAGCCCAGCCACAGCGCGGCCCCGGAGUCAGCGCCUCCAAGCAGCACCGCACCGGGGAGCCGCUUGCGCCGCCCCAGACACCCAAGCUCCCCUGUCCUCGCAGCGCUGCAAAGCAGCCGCAUCCAGCCGCUGCAUCCGGUCAGGUUUUCCUACAUUUUUGGCAGCAGUCACCCAGAAGCCACGCAAUGAACCCGUUCUCCUGGCUGGACAACACCAAAAAACACGGAUCCAGCACCAGGAGCCGUCCGAUUAUUGACAAAGGGCGGGGGGGGCAACCUCAGAGCGUACAAUCUAAAUAGGAAACAAAUGUGGCCACUCCUAUUUCAGUGGGAAUAUCUGGAUCUUGAUGCAUCCUGGCCCAGUAGCUCUGGAAAAAGACUUAUCUGUGAUUUGGAUCUUGCCAUUUUUUAAAGCCCAAUGCCCCAACUCUGUUGUUACAGCACCUACUACGCCACAACACCCAGCCUCUGUUGCAAACUGAUAGAGCAGCAUUGUAAAAAAUAGUUAUCCGGCAGCUGAAUCGAACCAUUUUUGGGUUUUUUUAAUCCUCAUCCCCAAAAUUUUACCAGCUACAUGGCAGCUAUUCCAAUUACACUACAAUAAUCCAGAUCCCCACACAUCCCUCCUCACAAGGAGCGCAAAAGCAGGUGUCCUGCACUUGUCUACUGUUAUUAGCCCCAACCCUGGCUCCCUUUGCCAUCCUGUUUGUACUUAGGUAAAAACCUAUUGCCAUUCCUACUUAGCCAUUACAACCCAGGUUCUGAGUACUGAGACAUCCUAGUGCAAGAGCAACUCAAAAGCACACAUUGUGUGUUUUUGCAGUGGUACUGCACCAGUUUGCAAAAUAAUACAGGGAAGCAAAAGGGAGGGUCCAGGUUUUCCUACUGACAUAGAAGAAGCUACACUUGUUUGAUUGUUUUAUUUAGAUUUCUAUUUGAGUGAUCGCUACUAACAAUAGGCUCCAUUUGCUAUAGUCAGGUUUUUCAGUGCUGGGACGCACAGGGAUCCAGAUUAUUUUGGUGGAGUAGGGGCAGCUGCUAUUCUCUAUUCAUGCCAUGGAAUUUGUGAGGCAGAGGCAAGGAUCAGAUAGAUCCAGAUGUCAGUUUUUUGUGGUGAAGUUGUAUGGGCGUUCCGGUUUUUUUUUGGUGCAGUGGGAUUGACUAAAUAUUGCCUCUGGUUGCAAAGGAAUUUGGGAACUGGGGGCCAAAAAUUGGCAAUCUCCAGGUAGUGGAGUAUUGUUAUGCCAGUUUGCAGCAGGGCCUACAUUUUGGGGUAUAUUAGGUGCUACUACACUUUUUCUUAUUUAUGUAAUAAAUGUUUGUUGGGCUUCCAUUCAAAUAGCCAUCUGCAGCUUAUGGUUUCUUCUAUCUGCUCCUUAGGACCCUGCUCUUGGAACAAAUACAUGGCUGUAUAAAAUUGUCAGCUAAAACACUACAAUGGAGAAUAGAACUCAAGAUCUUCAGAUCCCAAAACACUAAGUGGAAAGGAAUUCCCUAGUCACCUUUCUAUCCAGUUUCUUCAACUGGAGUUGAAGGAGUGAAAGAGUCAUCUGAUCAGAUACUGGGCUGAAAAAGAACAUCACACAGCAGGAGGGAAGUAGAGGAAAGUGAAAGCUCUUUCCAGGUUGCAUCAUUUGUCUCACUGAAGAAAUUAACAAGAUCCUCAACAGAGAGAAUGAGGAAGCAUGUGAAAGAUUUUGAGGGGAUAUGCUAAGGAGGAGAAGUGGUACUGGCCACUCCUCCCUGACUCAAACAGGUUGAAGAAGUCAGAGAUGCAGUGCUGAACGAAAAGGAAAAGCUGCAGUGAAAGAACCUUGGGUUUUAUCUAAAGGUGUUUAGCAGCAGGAAAGAAAAAAAAAAAAGAGGAAAAGAAUGUAAGUUGCCAGCCAAUGUUGGGGAAACAAAUAGUUUGCUAAAGAGAGAGGGGGGAGCUGAAGGAGGACAUCGACCUCUUGGAGGUUAGUGAGGGAAGGAGGGGCAGCAAGAAGGCGACGAUGUUAAUGCACAUGGUGGGAAGUACUGGGUCAGUGAACAGUAUUAAAGGAAAUAAUGUGAUCAGCGAGAUGGCCUCUUCAUAAUAAUUACUCUUGAGAAAUGUCUUUCACUGCUGCAAAUGUAAAACUAACUCUGUUUCUGCAGUUAGUUAUCUUCUUCUAAUGAGAAGUACUUCUGAUGUUGGAACAGAACUUGUCAUUCUUGUGCGACUCUGUUCCAUGGAUGCAAUGCCAGUAAUUAGACUAUAAUUGUAUUAUCAAAUAUAUAGCAGUGCAGUCAGGCCCAGACCCUAAAGAAUAUUUAGGCAGCUAGUUCCCUUUGAAGUCAGUGGUGUUAGGCCCCUAAAUACAUUUGCAGAUCUGGGUCUUAGUUCCGACACUAAUAAUAUAGCUGUGAAACCUCAGAGAGAAAAACAGCAGCCUGUCUUGAGAAAAUGAGUCAAAAAUGACCCUCUGGAAAAUAUGGGGUAAGCUCAGUGACUAUCCAGUCUCUAGCAUGUUGCAGCUCAUCCCCCAUUUCUUUAUCUGUAAAUGUAGUGAAUUUUUAAGCAAGCUCCAUUUGGGCAGAAUAAGGAAGGGCAGUACACAGGAAGCUUUGGUCAGGGGCAGCUGGCCUUUAGUGGCUGUAUUCAGGAGUGAUAGGUUCUAGGUGGCUUAGGUCCAGGCUGGCAGCUUUCAGGUAAUAUUUAGCAAAAUUUUGCAGCAUAUGAUAUUUACGUGCUGUGUUCAUAAGCUUUUCAGAAGGAACUUUGAAGCCCAAGAGAUGGAAGCUUCUUCAUUUAAACGUUUUCCUUCUAAAACCACAGAAAAUAAAAUGCAAAAAUCUACAUUAAGGUUGCACAGCUAGGCCCUAAUUCAGAAAAGCAGUUAAGCACAUGCUUGACUUUAAACACAUGAGUAAUCGCAUUCAUGUUCAGCAGAGCAUCUGCUUCACUUUAAGCAUUGCAGUCAAUUGGACUUUACACCCCAGUUCAGCAAAAUAUGUAAGCACAUGAUGAAUUCCAUCCAUAUGCAGUAAAACACUUAGGGAUUGGUCAGCAAAUUAAGCUACAUUAUGUAGAUCAGAAAAUGCUGGGAUAAAGUGAGAACUGCCAAAAGUCAAGCUGAGUUAGAAUUGCGAAGCCAAUUAAAACCAAUAGUGAAAGGUUCUUUAGUUACAUAAAUAAAAAGAGAACAAGAAAAGAAGUGGAGCUGCUGUGCAGUCAGUGUGGGGGAGAAAUUAAAAAUUAUGUAGGUAUGGCCCAAAAACUAAAUGCAAACUUUGCCUCAGGGUUUCAAUAAGGAUGAUAAUUUAUAACAUGGAUGGAAAAGGCAGGAUAGCUAAUGGGAAAGUGUAUAUAGAAAUGAAAAUUACCACAACUAAGGUGGAAGCCACAUGCAAAGAGAUGAAUGUGCUCUAACCAGGGGGACCAUCACAGGAUACUUAAAGAACGGGCAAAUGAAAUUGCAAGUCUGGUAACAAGGAUUCUUAAUAAAUCUAUCAAAUCAGGGGUGAUAUUGUAUGACUAGAGAAUAGCUAAUAUUGUACCUACAGGGAAACCUUCCUAACUGUAGGAACAGUUGGACAAUGUAAAAAGCUGCCUAGGGAAGCUCUGUCAUUGAAGGUUUUCAAAAAGAGGCUGGAUAGCCAUCUGUGUAGGAUGGUUUAGACUCAACAAAUCCUGCAUCUUGGCAGGAGGUUAGACUAGAAGACCCUUGCAGUCCCUUCUAACCCUGUGAGUCUAUGAUUUAAGAAAAAGAGGGGGGGGGAGAUGACCCAGGCAUAUACAGAUCUGUUAAUCUGGCCUCAAUAGUAUACAAGGCUUUAGAAUAAAUUCUGAAGAAAAGAAUAGUAAAAGACAUGAAGGUAAUGGAUGUAAUGGGAUAAGAUGCAACAUGGAUUUAGCAAAGUUAGAAUAUGGCAGGCCAACCUGGUAUCUUUCUUUGGUGAGAUAAUGGAUUUUUUUUAGAGAAGGAAAAUGUGAUUGAUCUAAUCUAUCUGGACUUUAGUGAAGCAUUUGACAUAGUGCCAUAGGGGAAAAUAUUCAUUAAACAGGAGAAAAUGGGGAUCAGUACAAGAAUUAUAAGGUGGGUAAGGAACUGGCUAAAAGUGAAACUACAACAGUUGGUGUUGAAAGAACAACUAUCGGACUGAAGGGGGGUUGCUAGUGGAGUUCUUCAAGGUUCAGGCUUGGGACUGAUCUUAUUGAAUAUUUUAAUUAAUGACCUAGGCACAAAGUCCUACAAAAAGUGGGGGUGUACUAAUGGAAUUUGCUGAUGACAAAGGUGGGAGGCACUGUGAAUACAGAGGACGGGAAUAUUUUACAGGAAGAAUUGGAUGACCUUGAUGAUUGGAGUAAUAGAAAUAGAAUGAAAUUUAAUAGUACAAAGUGAAAGGUGUUGCGUGUAGGACUAAAAGAAUUUCUGCUCUAAACUAGGGGCUCACCUCUUGGAAAUGAGAGAGGAGAAGAAAGAGUUGGGUGUAUUAAUCAACCAGUGAGUAACUAUGAGCCACCAAUCUGAUGUGGCCAUGAAAAAGGCAAAUGCAAUCCUCAUAUAUCAGCCUCUUUCAUGGAUGAACCACAAGAUAGUUCCCAUCCUUUUGCAAACAGAACAUAAGAAUGGCCAUACUGGGUCAGACCAAAGGCCCGUCCAGCCCAGUAUCCUGUCUACCAACAGUGAGCAAUGUCAGGUGCCGCAAAGGGAGUGACCCUAACAGGUAAUGAUCAAGUGAUCUCGCUCCUGCCAUCCAUCUCCACCCUCUGACAAACAGAGGCUAGGGACACCAUUCCUUACCCAUUCUGGCUAAUAGCGAUUAAUGGACUUAACCUCCAUUAACAAACUGCUGGGAGUAGUUAUAUAGGAUUUUUGAGUAACAGCAAGGACAGGAUCACAUUUGUUUUAUAAAACACAGAUGAUUAUCAAUUUCUAUUCUAUACUUCUUGCAUGUGGAGGCUUCUAUUUAGGAAAAUUAUUACAAUGUUCACAGUCUAUAUGAUCUUUACCUCUACCAUUACCUUUAUUCUGUGACUUUUUCUGAGCCUAUUUCUUUGCAACAAACUCUCUACCCUCUUUUACAAAUAGAUACAGAAAUAGAAUAUUCAGGGCAUUGUGAUAUGGUGUUGCUUGCCAUUCAGUCUGCACAAUGCUGGCGAUUGGCCCAGUCCCAUGUCUGCCAUGAAGAGUAACAGAAACAAUGAGCCUCAGUGCAAAUGUCCUAGCUUUCCCCGGAUAGCCCAAUUUCCAUAGGAUUUCCCCAUUGACCUUGGAAUAGCUGCAGGAAUGGAGGGGUCAUGCACCCUGUCAAGUAGGCAGGGUGGUAAAGCCACUUCUACUUGCUAAAAGUAACCUUUGGUUGAAAGUGCAUACCCUCAAGGUUACAGAGUUUUUUUUUACUUACCCUCAGCCUUCAGGCAGCUUUUUUUCACAGAAGGGUAUCCUAGAAGUGUAGGACUGGAAGAGAGCUCAAUAGGUCAUCUAGUCCAGUGCCCUGCACUCAAGGCAGGACUAAGUAAUAAC
Molecule: long non-coding RNA, 5559 nt
Organism: Chelonia mydas (Green sea turtle)
Lineage: Eukaryota; Metazoa; Chordata; Testudines; Cheloniidae
Exons: 3
Source: RefSeq, a predicted model, not a curated record